Schizophyllum commune H4-8 is the source of this 93-nucleotide non-coding RNA. The record is from Rfam. NCBI's taxonomy places the organism in Eukaryota, Fungi, Basidiomycota, Agaricomycetes, Agaricales, Schizophyllaceae.
GGCACUAUGACCGAGUGGUUAAGGUGUGAGACUUGAAUGCUCAUUCACAUCUCAUGGUCUUUGACCGCGCAGGUUCGAACCCUGCUGGUGUCG